UACAGAGGUCCCAAGCGUUGUUCGGAUUCACUGGGCGUAAAGGGUGCGUAGGUGGCAAGGUAAGUCUGAUGUGAAAUCCCGGAGCUCAACUCCGGAACUGCACUGGAUACUAUCUUGCUCGAGGGUUGGAGGGGAGACUGGAAUUCUCGGUGUAGCAGUGAAAUGCGUAGAUAUCGAGAGGAACACCAGUGGCGAAGGCGAGUCUCUGGACAACUCCUGACACUGAGGCACGAAAGCUAGGGGAGCAAACAGG
RNAcentral lists this ribosomal RNA (253 nucleotides) under uncultured bacterium. RNAcentral's name for it is "partial 16S ribosomal RNA". It matches the Rfam family "Bacterial small subunit ribosomal RNA", at positions 524 to 776 of the family's 1533-position model. The record is from RNAcentral.